AACUGUUGAGUACGUGACGUCUUAGAGUUUGAGAGAACGAAUCGAUGGGUAAAUUUGCGCAAGUCACAAAACUUGCCAUGCUAGAGCUGUGUCAAUGUCAAUGUCAAUUCCAAUGCCAAUGUCAAUGUCUACGGUCACUCGGACAUUCAAAAAAAAUAUUUCGUAAUUGAGAUAAUAAACGAUUAUUCUUUUUGCUUGUAUUUUUUUAGAUUAAUGGUUUUAUUUUUGUUUACUGGCUGCUGUUUAAAGAUCUGCUGCAUAAUUUCAAAUCAAAAAUUCAAAAUAUAUAUUUUUAAGGAGAGGGUUGGCACUUUUCGCUAUUUCAUUCAAGUGGACAAACGGAACUGUCUUUGUUGCACUUGUACAGUAAAUGGCUUUGUCCAAAUUUCUUACGCAACUGAAUAGAAACUUUGACUAAAUUGGACCGAGAAUCACUAGAUUAUGGAGUACUGCAUCAAGCCGUACAGGGUAGAAGUAGCAUUAGUGCCAUUGCUACAUUUUUGGACAUUUACUGCUUUAUUUUAAUUAAUGAAAAGAACAAAAUAAAAUUCCCGUUUCAAUAGAGGGAUAAAAGUAUCUUUGAACACAUUUUUAAAAAUAAAUAAUGUCUGUCCUGCCUUGUUAUGACAAAACGACGUAUCUCGAGAUACAGUGUUUUGUCGUUACAAAGCUAAAAAGGUUUAUUUUGUGUCACUUAAUAAUAGGGUAUCAUCAAAAUUUUACUAAUUUAAUUAAUUAUGCUAAUAAUAUUGAUCAAAUGUGCGUAUAAAAGAAAUGAAAAAAAAACGUAUAUUUUUUGCAUUGGAAAUUACAGCGUUUUGUCAUAACAGUUUCAUCUAUUUAUCAAAAUAAGCAUUAGUUUAUUACGAUACAAAAAACGUAUCUCGAGUUACAACGUUUUGUCAUAACAGAAAUUAAUUUUUCUGUUAAAUUUUACUCAAAUUCUGUUAAAACUUUAAACGCUAUUUUCUCGAAACUAUAAUUUUUGAGAUACGUCGUUUUGUCAUGACAGGGCAGGGUAUUCUAUAAAGUAUUGUAUUUAAAUUUUUUCAAUGUCCAAAACCGGCCCUAAGUGGCCAAAAACGGUAACUCUGCUCCAUAUUUUCACGGAGAUAUUAUUCUUGUUUGAAAUCCUAUGGUGUCAGAGUAAAGUCUGAGGUGAAAAUGGCGCCUGUUAUCACUCAAGGGUUAAGUUUCAAAUUUCUGUUAAAUUUUUGCUCACCUAUUUUAAAAAAUUUUAUUUACGAAUGUUAAUAAAAAUAUUUUUACAUCACAGGAAAUUUAAAAAUCGAAUUGAUAAUAAAUCACGGGGAUCAAAUACUCUUACAUCAUGCAAAUGAAGCGAAUUUUUUUUUAAAUUUAUUUUUAUUUUCUUUUAAAAAAAUUUUUAAAUCCUGUCACUAAUGCGCAUAACAAUGCAGGUCACUUUCUAAAUAUCUCUGGCACCCUGUAGAUUAAGGAUAAAAAAAAAAAUAAUCUAC
Molecule: long non-coding RNA, 1481 nt
Organism: Microplitis mediator
Lineage: Eukaryota; Metazoa; Arthropoda; Insecta; Hymenoptera; Braconidae
Exons: 3
Source: RefSeq, a predicted model, not a curated record